This 343-nucleotide unclassified non-coding RNA is filed under the name uncultured bacterium. RNAcentral describes it as "partial contains 16S ribosomal RNA, 16S-23S ribosomal RNA intergenic spacer, and 23S ribosomal RNA". The stretch from base 230 to 343 matches the Rfam family "Bacterial large subunit ribosomal RNA", at positions 1 to 114 of the family's 2925-position model. The record is from RNAcentral.
UCUGGAGCCGGUCUUUCCGGGCUCUGUUUUGUGGGCAAUAUAUGGGACCUCCGCCUUGCGGCGGGCGUUCCAACUUUUCAGAGGACAAUGACAAGGCUGGAAGUGAUGCGGAAGCAUCAUGAGAAGACAAGAGUAGAAACACAACAGAGUUUCACAAACGAGCAACCAGAAGGCGAGAACAUGUCGUUAGGUCGACGUUAGGCUUCUGUCUUCGGACAGGAGGAAGAUAUAACGGAAAGACAAGGGCGCAUGGGGGAUGCCUAGGCUCUCGGAGGCGAUGAAGGACGUGAUAAGCUGCGAAAAGCUGCGGCGAGUGGCAAAUGCACAUAGACCCGCAGAUGUC